Molecule: transfer RNA, 86 nt
Filed under: Calidithermus roseus
Lineage: Bacteria; Thermotogati; Deinococcota; Deinococci; Thermales; Thermaceae
Also listed under: 1 other name
Description: Meiothermus roseus tRNA-Leu
Rfam family: tRNA
About the family: Transfer RNA (tRNA) molecules are approximately 80 nucleotides in length. Their secondary structure includes four short double-helical elements and three loops (D, anti-codon, and T loops). Further hydrogen bonds mediate the characteristic L-shaped molecular structure. tRNAs have two regions of fundamental functional importance: the anti-codon, which is responsible for specific mRNA codon recognition, and the 3' end, to which the tRNAs corresponding amino acid is attached (by aminoacyl-tRNA synthetases). tRNAs cope with the degeneracy of the genetic code in two manners: having more than one tRNA (with a specific anti-codon) for a particular amino acid; and 'wobble' base-pairing, i.e. permitting non-standard base-pairing at the 3rd anti-codon position.
Source: RNAcentral
GCGAGGAUGGCGGAAUUUGGUAGACGCGCUGGACUUAGGAUCCAGUACCGCAAGGUGUGCGGGUUCAAGUCCCGCUCCUCGCACCA